UCUAUCUCUCUUUUCUCUUCAAAUUUUUCUUGGUCUUUGAGAUGAAAGAAAAUAAAAAAUGUUAAUUAAAGUAACUCAUUUGAUUCUUAGUCUUUUGUGUUCUUGCCAGUACAAGAAGAUCACAUCCUCCUAGUGCAAGCGUAGACACAUUUGGAAGAUCUCUACAUAGACAUCUCGAUCCAUUGAAGGGAGGAAUCAACGUUAGUAGCCGGUUCAAGAAAUCAAUGAGGGUUUUUUGCUUCAUUGAAAGGUGCCGCUGGAGCCACCACUCACAUCACUGGUAACAAAUCUUGUUUGACCUCUUUAUCUAUGUCCACCUUAUCCCCUGUACGCUUGGCUGAUGGCACUCAUUCUCCUGUUUCUAGCUCCGGUAUCAUUCAUUGCUCUAAAGAUCUUACCCUUGAUAAUGUUCUCUUUGCUCAUUGUUUUCCCAUCAGCGGACAUUUCCUUUGUUGUGGGCAUAGUGAGUCAAUAUAUGGAUAGACCCCUGACUAUCCAUAGGCAAGCUGCACAACUCAGGAUACUCAAGUAUGUUAAAGUUGCUCCGGGUAAAGGUUUGUUGUUCAAGAAACAUGGUCAUCUAAAGAUAGAAGCUUAUUCAGAUGUUGAUGCUGGCUCUAGAAAUGAUAGAAGAUCUACUUUUGGAUAUUGCACCUAUCUUGGGGGAAAUUUGGCUACUUGGCGAAGUAAACUGUUGCUCGGUCUAGUGCAGAGGCUGAAUCCAGGGCUAUGGUUCUUACUGCUAAUGACAUGAUGUGGCCAAAAACUUUGUUGGGAGAAUUGGGGUUCUUGUACGAUAAGCUACUACCUAUUUACUGUGAUAAUCAGGCAGCCAUUCAUAUUGCAAGCAAUCCAGUAUUUCAUGAAAGGACAAAACAUAUUGAAAUUGAUUGUCAAUUCAUCCGUGAAGCAGUGAUGAGUAGAAAAAAUUUGUACUCCAUUUACUCCUCAUCAAAACAAAUAGCACAUGUGUUCACCAAGGCUUUAGGGUGCAAGCAGUUUCAGUUCUUAUAUAGCAAGCUGAGCAUGGUUGAUAUAUAUGCUCCGGCUUGAGGGUGAGUGUUAGAAGAUUUGAUUAAGAUUUUGUGUAUGUUUGCCUUAUUUAUAGUUGCUAUUCUUGGUAGGUAGAUCAAUCAUAUCUAGUCCUAACACUAUAUAAUUGGGACUAGCUCGUCAAUGUAAAUCAAUCCUUUCUCUUAUUACUAUUCAAUAAUACUCUUUCAAACCAGAAUCACUA
Non-coding RNA from Sesamum indicum (sesame), 1237 nucleotides. The record is from RefSeq and is a predicted model, not a curated record. Lineage: Eukaryota; Viridiplantae; Streptophyta; Magnoliopsida; Lamiales; Pedaliaceae.